This 492-nucleotide ribosomal RNA is filed under the name uncultured bacterium. RNAcentral's name for it is "partial 16S ribosomal RNA". It matches the Rfam family "Bacterial small subunit ribosomal RNA", at positions 30 to 507 of the family's 1533-position model. The record is from RNAcentral.
AUUGAACGCUGGCGGCAUGCUUUACACAUGCCAGUCGAACGGUAACAGGCCUUCUGGUGCUGACGAGUGGCGCACGGGUGCGUAAUGCAUCGGAACGUACCCAGAGGUGGGGGUUAACGCAGCGAAAGCUGUGCUAAUACCGCAUGUGAUCUGAGGAUGAAAGCGGGGGACCGCGCAGCAAUGUUUGGCCUCGCGCCUUUGUAGCGGCCGAUGUCGGAUUAGCUAGUUGGUUGGGUAAAGGCCUACCAAGGCGACGAUCCGUAGCUGGUCUGAGAGGACGACCGGCAACACUGGGAGUGAGACACGGACAAGACUCCUACGGGAGGCAGCAGUGGGGAAUUUUGGACAAUGGGCGCAAGCCUGAUCCAGCAAUGCCGCGUGCGGGAAGAAGGCCUUCGGGUUGUAAACCGCUUUUGGCAGGAACGAAACGGUGUCCGCUAAUACCGGGCGCUAAUGACGGUACCUGCAGAAUAAGCACCGGCUAACUACGUG